AAAGAGUCCCUGCUGCUUUCCCUCCAACGGAAGUCCCAAGUCCACUGUGAAAGAAUCACAGGGCUGUCAGCCAGUGUUGAGAGAAAACAAAUACCUCUCCUCAAGGUGGGUCAGUGAACUAUCACAAAUUUGGCACACAGAAGAGAUUGCCUAACUCUGUCCUCUUGAGUGAAAGCCAGGGAUGCAAGUGUCAGAGGUGCUAAAUUUGACAAAUUUGUAUGCAUCAGCCUCAGGUCCACAGAAAACUGAAGCCCUCUUUCUGCCAAUGUUUCUCUGAAUGUAUUGAGAAGAAGUGCCAGUUUCUGCAUACAUUGCUUGAGGCUGUAACCCCUUUAGCACUGGUUUGCAUCAGAAACGUGACUACCUAUGUCCUUUUCAGUCCUGCAGCAUACAGGGCUUUGGCUCCUGUUUACGUCAGUGAAAGCAGCGAGGUCAGAUCCCUGUCACUGCUUUGGAAACUCCCCAGCUGCAUUUACUCUAAAAGGCUAAGCUUAAUUUUCUCAAGAGAACUGAAGGAAAGUUUCUGUAAUGGUUUUUUGCAUCAUUUAUUUCUCUGGGACUUUUCAGGGGAUUCCAGGCCUGCAGUUUGGGUAAAUAUUUAUUUUUUGUUCCUUGAAGAAGAGGACAAAAGCCCCCACAGGCGCUUUGAACAGCCUCUUCCAUUGGGCCAAGGGUAUGGUUUGAAUGUUCUUUGCAGGGCAAUUAAACAGACAUUAACAGCGGACAUUGUGAGAUUCCAGUGGCCAGCCUUGUGCCUAUGGUGAGUGCUGCAUGGAGCUGGUGUUCUGUCAGGAUGUACAGAUUAGUUAUACUGUGGGAAAUUGUAUGUGGGUGUUAAAGUUAAUGCCACUCCAACAAAGGACGUGUUAAGGGACAGAUAGUAGCCCCCUCCAGAGUAUCUAGUGUUACUCAUACUACUAAUGUCUAAAGGAUGGUGGGUAGAAUGGGGCAUCCAUUCAAAUGGCCCAGAGAUUUUCAGAAAGAAAUUUAUCCUUCAGGGAAUCCUCCUUGGAGUUUUAGAUCCCUUAUGAUCUCAUUUAUGCCAGCUCCGCAUUCUUCAUCUGGCCUAAGCUCCACAUCAUAGCCAUCAUCCUUCUGCUCAAUGGGACUGGCUGGGGCUCCUUUCAGAGACAAUCAGUGUCAUUCCUUUAGCCAUGGAAGGGCUCACUGAUAGCUAGCAGGACUAGUACUGGGCAGGAACCAGAUUUUCUAUUUUGAAUUCUGUGAGGUCAAUGUUUUUUUCCAUUCUGAAAUGGAACAAAAACAGAACAUAAGAAAUUCUGAAGACGAGUUCAUUUUGGGUCAAUUGGAAUGUUUCA
Molecule: long non-coding RNA, 1319 nt
Filed under: Chelonoidis abingdonii (Abingdon island giant tortoise)
Lineage: Eukaryota; Metazoa; Chordata; Testudines; Testudinidae
Description: lncRNA (ENSCABG00000006726.1)
Source: RNAcentral